Molecule: long non-coding RNA, 243 nt
Filed under: Trifolium pratense (red clover)
Lineage: Eukaryota; Viridiplantae; Streptophyta; Magnoliopsida; Fabales; Fabaceae
Description: long non-coding RNA (TPRA_LNC002649)
Source: RNAcentral
UAUAUGUUUGGUUAGGCGUUGGAAAAUUGUAAACGCGCUUUUAACAGUCCAAACGUGAGUUUUUUCUUUUUCAAUGGUGUUUGGGUGAUUGGUGUAAAAUCAAUUCCAAGGACCCAAACGCGAUUCAAAGUGAAGCUAAUAUUCCUAGCUUAUGCGUUAUGGUAAAUCAAUUCUGGUUGGUGUGUCAUUAAAUACAUACAAAUAUUCCUUUAUUGCCCUUCUUCUUCCUGCUUCAUUGUUCUU